RNAcentral lists this ribosomal RNA (467 nucleotides) under uncultured bacterium. RNAcentral's name for it is "partial 16S ribosomal RNA". It matches the Rfam family "Bacterial small subunit ribosomal RNA", at positions 28 to 506 of the family's 1533-position model. The record is from RNAcentral.
GACGAACGCUGGCGGCGUGCUUAACACAUGCAAGUCGAACGGAAAGGCCCUGCUUUUGUGGGGUGCUCGAGUGGCGAACGGGUGAGUAACACGUGAGUAACCUGCCCUUGACUUUGGGAUAACUUCAGGAAACGGGGGCUAAUACCGGAUAGGAGCUCCUGCUGCAUGGUGGGGGUUGGAAAGUUUCGGCGGUUGGGGAUGGACUCGCGGCUUAUCAGCUUGUUGGUGGGGUAGUGGCUUACCAAGGCUUUGACGGGUAGCCGGCCUGAGAGGGUGACCGGCCACAUUGGGACUGAGGUGCGGCCCAGACUCCUACGGGAGGCAGCAGUGGGGAAUAUUGCACAAUGGGCGGAAGCCUGAUGCAGCAACGCCGCGUGCGGGAUGACGGCCUUCGGGUUGUAAACCGCUUUCGCCUGUGACGAAGCGUGAGUGACGGUAAUGGGUAAAGAAGCACCGGCUAACUACGU